UUUUUUGAUUAAUAAAAUAUUGGAUGGAAAUUAAUUUAGCAAGUAUUAUAAUAAUCUUUUAUUGCUUCCAAGGAAUACAAGUUCCCAUAGCAAGGGAGAAUCACAAUUUACAUAAAAACAUGCAUAUACAUAGUUAACAGAUUGCAAGAAGGGUUGAGGAUGUCCUGGAUUGAAGGGGUUGGUUCGAAGUUAGCUGCUAAGAAUUGGCUACGAGGUUCCUUAAGGACUGGGCAUCUUAGCAAGAAGUGUUCUAUCGUGUCUUUAGCGUCACAGUUACAAAUAGGACAAUUCGAGUUACAGUCGAAGUCGUACUUGCAGUUGUUUAUUUUGAUAGAGCAAUGGAAGCUGCUGGCCAGUCUGAGUUGCGUGAAGAGUCUGAUCGCAUAGAAUUGUGUUCUGUGGUAGCACCACCCGUGGAGGUUCAAGUUGGAGAGGCCGAGCGCUAGCAGUGGAGAAACUUCUGUAAUUAUUGAGAGAAACUUUUUAAACCAGUUGGUUUUGGGCGAGCAGGAAUCAUUUUUGGCCAGGUGCGCCAGUCUAUACAGGCAGAUCUUUGGUUGGCGAGAGUUGUCAAACGUCAGCACUUUGAUUAUGUACUUCCACGUGGCUUUAAUCACAUAAUAAGCUAAAGGUGGUCUGUUGAAUUCUACUCUGAGCAAUGCACUGGCAGUAGUUCUAUGUAGGCCAAAUACUUGUUUGAUAAAGUCAGUCUGAAUUUUCUCUAUGAGGUCCAGGUAAGAAAGAGCCCAGAUAGGUGACGAGUAUAGGAGCGUUGCCGCAACAAUGCUAUCAAAUAGUUUAAAAAUACUGGGGAUUGAGUCAAUUUUUGAGGCGUAAAUAAUUGAGACGGUCAUAUUUAGUGCUGCCUGUGCUUUUUUAAUAGCAGACAUAGCUGCCGGUCUACUAAAGCCAUUGGGGGAAAAAGUUAGACCUAGGUAUUCGUAGCUGUCGACGAUGUCCAGUUCUUGGUCAGCGAGAUGGAAUUUUGUAUUGUCGGGAA
Cotesia glomerata is the source of this 1000-nucleotide long non-coding RNA. RefSeq lists it as uncharacterized. The transcript has 3 exons. NCBI's taxonomy places the organism in Eukaryota, Metazoa, Arthropoda, Insecta, Hymenoptera, Braconidae. The record is from RefSeq and is a predicted model, not a curated record.